Cotesia glomerata is the source of this 326-nucleotide long non-coding RNA. RefSeq lists it as uncharacterized. The transcript has 3 exons. NCBI's taxonomy places the organism in Eukaryota, Metazoa, Arthropoda, Insecta, Hymenoptera, Braconidae. The record is from RefSeq and is a predicted model, not a curated record.
AAUUAGCGGCCUCAGCUUCACCUUCACUCAUUGAUACCUCGCGAACUGAAGCACUCUCGUCACACUUGUUGCCGACCUGUCAAGAAUCAACAUCACGCCAUACAAUAUAUAGAUAUCAAAAAACUAUUGAAUGAAUAGACUUUAUAAACUAGACAGAAGAGAAGAAAAUGAAAGGAGAGAGUGCCCUUAACUCGGUGAUAUUAACCUUUUAGUUGGGUUGACUUAACAUGCUUACCAGCAUUAUCGGAAUUUGGGAGAUAUCCUGUCCUUUAAGCUCCCGUAUCACCGCCCAGAUUGAUCGUAAUUCUUCAAGGCUUUGCCGCGAG